CUUUCUACCCAGAGCACUUCUCUGAUAAGUUAAGUAAUAUCUUACAAUUUCAAGGAUUUUUGGAUAAAUAUCUAAGAAUUGGUGAGGUAGUGUAUCCAUAUUUGGUCAAAGAAUUUUAUAGGAAUUUGUCUACACAGAUUAAGAAAGGGGCACUAAUGUAAAAUCUAGUGUAAGGGGAACCCGAGUAGAAUUAAGUCCCAAGAAAUUAGCUAGUUGGUUUGACCUACCCAUGCGGGGCGCGGACACCUAUGAUAGAGAAAGUUGGAUAACUGCUGACUCCAUGGGAUACGAAGAAUAUUUGUUGUAAAUGACGGGUAGUGAAGAGGGGAUUACACAAGAUACCCGACCUGAGACUAGAGUAAAGAUUUAACGCAUUGAGCACGCAGAUAAGUCAAGAAUUCACCUCCCUUAAUCAAAGAGUGGUAGUCAUCGAAAAUAGGCUUGGAAUAGAGAAUUCUCCGGGAGCAGCUUAGCAAGGAUUGGAUCCAAGUAUUGUGUACCAUAGCGCAGCGCACCAUGGAAUUUUGGUAAAGGAGGUGAAGGAGAAAGCCAUAGUUGAAGAAGGAUGAGGGAUUCAUACUAGGAGCUAGCAAUCUCAAGGUAUAAUCCACGUGUUAUAUAAUGUUGUGAUGAAGAUUUGUGUGUUAUAUAAUGUUGUGAUGAAGAUUUAUGUGU
Long non-coding RNA from Ipomoea nil (Japanese morning glory), 675 nucleotides. RefSeq lists it as uncharacterized. NCBI's taxonomy places the organism in Eukaryota, Viridiplantae, Streptophyta, Magnoliopsida, Solanales, Convolvulaceae. The transcript is spliced from 2 exons. The record is from RefSeq and is a predicted model, not a curated record.